UACAGAGGUCUCAAGCGUUGUUCGGAUUCAUUGGGCGUAAAGGGUGCGUAGGUGGCAAGGUAAGUUGGAUGUGAAAUCCCGGGGCUUAACCCCGGAACUGCAUUCAAUACUGCCCUGCUCGAGUACUGGAGAGGAGAUUGGAAUUUACGGUGUAGCAGUGAAAUGCGUAGAUAUCGUAAGGAAGACCGGUGGCGAAGGCGGAUCUCUGGACAGUUACUGACACUGAGGCACGAAGGCCAGGGGAGCAAACGGG
Molecule: ribosomal RNA, 253 nt
Filed under: uncultured bacterium
Lineage: Bacteria
Description: partial 16S ribosomal RNA
Rfam family: Bacterial small subunit ribosomal RNA
Source: RNAcentral